Molecule: ribosomal RNA, 301 nt
Filed under: uncultured bacterium
Lineage: Bacteria
Description: partial 16S ribosomal RNA
Rfam family: Bacterial small subunit ribosomal RNA
Source: RNAcentral
CAGCAGCCGCGGGAAUACGGAGGGGGCUAGCGUUGUUCGGAAUUACUGGGCGUAAAGCGCACGUAGGCGGCUUGGUAAGUUAGAGGUGAAAGCCUGGAGCUCAACUCCAGAAUUGCCUUUAAGACUGCCGAGCUAGCAGGUGAGAGAGGUAAGUGGAAUUCCGAGCGUAGAGGUGAAAUUCGUAGAUAUUCGGAAGAACACCAGUGGCGAAGGCGGCUUACUGGCUCAUACUGGACGCUGAGGUGCGAAAGCGUGGGGAGCAAACAGGAUUAGAUACCCCCGUAGUCCCUGUCUCUUAUAU